AUAGGCAAACAUGCAGACAGAACACUGUAU
Molecule: non-coding RNA, 30 nt
Filed under: Cricetulus griseus (Chinese hamster)
Lineage: Eukaryota; Metazoa; Chordata; Mammalia; Rodentia; Cricetidae
Source: RNAcentral